Molecule: long non-coding RNA, 2269 nt
Organism: Malus domestica (apple)
Lineage: Eukaryota; Viridiplantae; Streptophyta; Magnoliopsida; Rosales; Rosaceae
Source: RefSeq, a predicted model, not a curated record
UAAAUACACCCUUUAAUUUUAUUGACAACGUAUUUUAACAAAAAAAAUUAAAAUGACAGAAAUAUGAAUGAUGCAAUUUUAUAAACCCCUCGCCGACGUCUCUCAUUUUCUCCAUCGCUUGAUUCUCAUUUUCUCCAUCGCUUGAUUCGAUUCAGUCUCUGCUUUUCAGUGAUUCGAACUGUGGUGCAGGGGAUGGAACUGUUGGAAGGUGUUUUUUUAUUGGAAGCAAAGGUUUUGGAUCCAAUAGAGUUAUGCUUUGGUGGUUAAUGUAGUUGCUUUCAGUUCCCAAGUGUUGUACUUAUUGAUAUGUUUUCUGAUUGACUCAUUGGGGUUUUGUUCACACUGUGGAGAAGAUGUGAUUUUGUGUAAAAAUUGGAACCAAAAGGAAAUUAUGGCGCUGAGGAAGAAACUGUGGGAGAGUUCCGAUUUCAAUGGAAAAUUUGUGUACAGCUUUUCAAGGUAUUACAGUUCAAACAAGGUGGACUUAAGGAAGCUAAAGCCUAUGAUUCAUAAUAAAAUCCAAAACCCGGCUAAGGAUUACCCAAUGCUGGCCAUGAUACCGGUAGCCCAGGAGGUCAUGGAGUGCCGGAGACUCGUUAUGCAAGGUGUCUCUACUCUCCUCAAAAUGGUGCCCGUUCUGGCCUGCAAGCGAGAAAGGCCACUUAAUUCAGACUUCUUGUGGGUUCAAACGUCGUGGCAAGAAUAAAGUUUGAAUGGAUAGUUGGUGGUUUGAAAGAUGUGCUUGUUCCAGUAGAGGCAUUUCACCUCAAGCACAUGUUCCAGGAUGUUAUAAAACACCAUCAGAGGUUUGACCUUGAACGUGUUCCUGCAGUUGUCGAGCUAUGCUGGCAAGCAGGGGAGAACGAUAUUAUGAUGGAAAUCAUUUAAAUUGGAACUUUGAAAGUGAGUGUGUUGGCGUUAACGGAGCUGAGUCUUUGUUACCCGAUGAACUGAUUCUGGUUGCCAGUGAAACUUUGAGGGCAUGGGAAAUUCUUAGAAAUGGCAUGGAGAAGUUGCUGAAGGUUUAUCCAGCGAAAGUCUGUAGACAUUAUUUAGAAGUUCGUUUUGGGCUAUCUGGACAUAAGGCUAGGCUUCAUGGAGUUUUCAAGUAUGAGAGUGAGCAGGGAAUCCACUUUUGGAGAAGAGCAAAUGUGGAUGAUCAUGUGCCUUCAAAGAGUGUAUGGCGGUGGCAGCCUCAGGAUCCUCAAGUACCUUCGAAUGAAGGGAAGGGAUUUUAUGGGCAUGCUCCUGCAAUGAUAAAACUAUGUACACAAGCAGGUGUCAUUGCACCCCCCAAAGUAUCACUGCAUGAUGAAACUGCAGGGUGUAAGUACCACACUUGGAGAUCAAAGGUUGUUCCACUUGAAUAGUAAAAUGAAAAUGUCGAUUAAUUCCAAGGUAGAAAAUUGAGCCUAGCAGAAACUCCCCAGGAUUGUCAGAUCACAGAUGUGCGUAGAAUUGCUUAUAGUUGUAACAUUUGAUCUGAAAUGGGAAAAUGAACCUCAUAGAAGCUCCCGUAAGACUGUCUGAUCUUCAUUAUUGAGAAUGAUUGUAAUUUCAGAUGAAUGACUACGAAGUUCGAGAUGGCUGGCAAUAUCAACUGAGCACGUAUUGCCCCCCUUCACUUCAUGAUAAAGCUAUGGAAUAAUUACUAUUCUUGUGCAUAUCGGCAUCCACUGCGAUAGAACGUCACUUCGAACAAAUAUCUGGAAUCUCCAUCUUCCACACCAUGCCAUUUUUUAGGCUGCAGUUGUCUAUCCAUCUCUCUUACUUUAUUUGAUCGACAAUGCACGAUUGCUACCAUAUAAAGGAUUUCAGGUUCGUAGAACCUCACUCCCCUGUAUCACCUUACAAUGACUGGUAAAGAAUGGUUUUUAAGUUCAAAAUUUUGGUACUAGUCAUGUCCAAACCCAAUUAUUCCAUCGUUCUACAUGUAUGUUGAAUCAUUUAAAAAGCAUAAAUUUUGAUCACGAGCAUGAUUCAGGAAGGAUAUGCUGCCCCUAGUCCCCCACCACACACGCGCGCGCACACCACUUACAUGCAGUGUUCUAAAAAAUUUCGUCUAGAUCUUGCCUAGGCGCUUGGGGGCUAGCCACCGCCCGACUAAUCCUUAGGCGUUUGAAAAUUAAAAAAAGGGCACUUAGACCUGCCUAGCCUAGGUCGCGACUUUCAUUUAGACAGAAAAUAUAUAUCUUUCAUUUUGUAUUUUAUUUUUUCAAUAAGUGUAAAAGACUUGUUAAAUACUUAAAUGAACACGCAUUAUAUGAUU